GACAGAGGGUGCAAACGUUGCUCGGAAUUACUGGGCGUAAAGCGCGUGUAGGCUGCUUCGCAAGUCGGAUGUGAAAGCCCUGGGCUCAACCCAGGAAGUGCAUUCGAAACUGCAGAGCUGGAGUCCUGGAGAGGAAGGCGGAAUUCUCGGUGUAGAGGUGAAAUUCGUAGAUAUCGAGAGGAACACCGGUGGCGAAGGCGGCCUUCUGGACAGUGACUGACGCUGAGACGCGAAAGCGUGGGGAGCAAACAGG
RNAcentral lists this ribosomal RNA (253 nucleotides) under uncultured bacterium. RNAcentral's name for it is "partial 16S ribosomal RNA". It matches the Rfam family "Bacterial small subunit ribosomal RNA", at positions 524 to 776 of the family's 1533-position model. The record is from RNAcentral.